GAAAGCGUGGGUAGCAAACAGGAUUAGAUACCCUGGUAGUCCACGCCGUAAACGAUGUCUACUAGUCGUUGGGUCCCUUGAGGACUUAGUGACGCAGCUAACGCAAUAAGUAGACCGCCUGGGGAGUACGGCCGCAAGGUUAAAACUCAAAUGAAUUGACGGGGGCCCGCACAAGCGGUGGAGCAUGUGGUUUAAUUCGAUGCAACGCGAAGAACCUUACCUGGUCUUGACAUAUCUAGAAUCCUGCAGAGAUGCGGGAGUGCCUUCGGGAAUUAGAAUACAGGUGCUGCAUGGCUGUCGUCAGCUCGUGUCGUGAGAUGUUGGGUUAAGUCCCGCAACGAGCGCAACCCUUGUCCUUAGUUACCAGCGGGUUAAGCCGGGAACUCUAAGGAUACUGCCAGUGACAAACUGGAGGAAGGCGGGGACGACGUCAAGUCAUCAUGGCCCUUACGACCAGGGCUACACACGUGCUACAAUGGUAGGUACAGAGGGCAGCUACACAGCGAUGUGAUGCGAAUCUCAAAAAGCCUAUCGCAGUCCAGAUUGGAGUCUGCAACUCGACUCCAUGAAGUAGGAAUCGCUAGUAAUCGCGGAUCAGAAUGCCGCGGUGAAUACGUUCCCGGGCCUUGUACACACCGCCCGUCACACCAUGGGAGUUGAUUGCACCAGAAGUGGAUAGCUUAACCUUCGGGGAGGCGUUCACCACGGUGUGGUUGAUGACUGGGGUGAAGUCGUAACAAGGUAGCCGU
Molecule: ribosomal RNA, 749 nt
Filed under: Psychrobacter cryohalolentis
Lineage: Bacteria; Pseudomonadati; Pseudomonadota; Gammaproteobacteria; Moraxellales; Moraxellaceae
Description: bacterial SSU rRNA
Rfam family: Bacterial small subunit ribosomal RNA
Source: RNAcentral